RNAcentral lists this ribosomal RNA (254 nucleotides) under uncultured bacterium. Its description in RNAcentral is "partial 16S ribosomal RNA". It matches the Rfam family "Bacterial small subunit ribosomal RNA", at positions 524 to 776 of the family's 1533-position model. The record is from RNAcentral.
UACGUAGGGUGCAAGCGUUUGUCCGGAAUUAUUGGGCGUAAAGAGCUCGUAGGCGGUCCGUCACGUCGGCUGUGAAAACCUGGGGCUCAACCCCGGGCCUGCAGCCGAUACGGGCGGACUAGAAUUCGGUAGGGGAGACUGGAAUUCCUGGUGUAGCGGUGAAAUGCGCAGAUAUCAGGAGGAACACCGGUGGCGAAGGCGGGUCUCUGGGCCGAUAUUGACGCUGAGGAGCGAAAGCGUGGGGAGCGAACAGG